RNAcentral lists this unclassified non-coding RNA (231 nucleotides) under Sordariomycetes sp. Its description in RNAcentral is "partial contains 5.8S ribosomal RNA, internal transcribed spacer 2, and large subunit ribosomal RNA". Lineage: Eukaryota; Fungi; Ascomycota; Sordariomycetes. The record is from RNAcentral.
CGCACAUUGCGCCCGUUAGUAUUCUAGCAGGCAUGCCUGUUCGAGCGUCAUUUCAACCCUCAGGCCCCGCCUGGUGAUGGGGACCGCCUGUGGCGGCCCUGAAUAUUAGCAGCGGGCCUCUGUUGUACCCGAGCGUAGUAAUGCCCUCGCUCUUGGAGAAGACAGGCGGCCCUGCUUAAUGCAUACCCACUGGUUGACCUCGGAUCAGGUAGGAAUACCCGCUGAACUUAA